UACAGGGGGGGCAAGCGUUGUUCGGAAUUACUGGGCGUAAAGGGCUCGUAGGCGGCCAACUAAGUCGGACGUGAAAUCCCUCAGCUUAACUGGGGAACUGCGUCCGAUACUGGAUGGCUUGAGUUUGGGAGAGGGAUGCGGAAUUCCAGGUGUAGCGGUGAAAUGCGUAGAUAUCUGGAGGAACACCGGUGGCGAAGGCGGCAUCCUGGACCAACACUGACACUGAGGAGCGAAAGCCAGGGGAGCGAACGGG
This 253-nucleotide ribosomal RNA is filed under the name uncultured bacterium. RNAcentral describes it as "partial 16S ribosomal RNA". It matches the Rfam family "Bacterial small subunit ribosomal RNA", at positions 524 to 776 of the family's 1533-position model. The record is from RNAcentral.